RNAcentral lists this unclassified non-coding RNA (202 nucleotides) under uncultured Sebacina. RNAcentral's name for it is "sequence contains ITS2". The record is from RNAcentral. Lineage: Eukaryota; Fungi; Basidiomycota; Agaricomycetes; Sebacinales; Sebacinaceae.
UACUCUCACACUCUCUGAUCCUUUGGAUUCAGGGAGUGGUGGACUUGGGUGUUUGCUGCUUUCCGGUGGCUCACCUCAAAUGCGUUAGUGCACCUCUUGGUUGGACAUAGUACGGCGUGAUAAGUAUCUUCGCCGGCACCUCGCAAGAGGGUGGCCGAUUGGGAGCUCUGUGCUUUCAAACCGUCUUCGGACAAUCUUGACA